RNAcentral lists this ribosomal RNA (229 nucleotides) under Arabidopsis thaliana (thale cress). Lineage: Eukaryota; Viridiplantae; Streptophyta; Magnoliopsida; Brassicales; Brassicaceae. The record is from RNAcentral.
GGGUAUCCCUACAUAGCGGGUGGGACCCACGGCAAAUGGUUCAUCAAGUCUUCAAAAAAGAAUAUAUACGAUUGCAUUGCAUAUACUAACGGAUGCGAUCAUACCAGCACUAAUGCACCGGAUCCCAUUAGAACUCCGCAGUUAAGCGUGCUUGGGCGAGAGUAGUACUAGGAUGGGUGGGUGACCUCCCGGGAAGUCCUCGUGUUGCAUCCCUCUUUUAUGUUUAACC